RNAcentral lists this small RNA (78 nucleotides) under Salmonella enterica. RNAcentral's name for it is "RtT RNA". It matches the Rfam family "RtT RNA", at positions 36 to 111 of the family's 130-position model. From Rfam's summary of the family: This family represents a bacterial cis-regulatory element known as RtT RNA. The exact function of RtT is unknown although it is thought that it may be involved in changing the cellular response in relation to amino acid starvation. Lineage: Bacteria; Pseudomonadati; Pseudomonadota; Gammaproteobacteria; Enterobacterales; Enterobacteriaceae. The record is from RNAcentral.
CUAAGGUUCGAUUCGAGCGAAAGCGAGAAAGCUUUGCCGCAGGCAACGACCCGAAGGGCGAAACGCGCAGCGCUGAGU